Molecule: ribosomal RNA, 1068 nt
Filed under: Triticum aestivum (bread wheat)
Lineage: Eukaryota; Viridiplantae; Streptophyta; Magnoliopsida; Poales; Poaceae
Description: partial small subunit ribosomal RNA
Source: RNAcentral
AUGCCUGGCUUCAGGCCUCACAUCGGGUGCGCGUUCGACUCCGAGAAAUUCUCCAACUUGAUGUUGCAAAUAGAGGUCCUCGCCGGAGGAGGAUCUGUCCCCGACUUCGUGAGCAAUAACGACGAGAAAGCUGAUAAAGGACAUACAAUUGACUCUUCCUCAACAAUGGCAGGCAGGCCUGUUUUAACCCUAAAGAGCAUUCUUAUGAAUUUGCUUAUUCUCACUGGAAGAAGUCCUUUCUUUGUAAAGCUUUUCACUAAUGGCAUGAAGGAAUCCGAUGAGACGCAUCCAAGAAUUAGGAUUGUUGAUUCAGAGGAAAAUGCCCUUAUGGAGCUUCUAAGAUUCAUGUAUAGUGGAAAGUUGACAACAAUUGAGCCCACUCUUCUGCUCGACAUCUUGAUGGCUGCUGAUAAAUUUGAGGUUCUUGCUUGCAUGAGGCACAGUCAGUUUCUCACAAGCCUGCCUAUGACCACAUAAUUUGCAUUUCUAUACCUAGACCAUCCAUGAUCCUCUUUAAUGGUUGCUGAAGUUUAGAGUGUAGUACGUGUAGCCAAGGAAUUCCUUGCUGACAAAUACAAGGAUUUUCGUAAGUUCGAAGCUGAAGUGAUGAACAUCACUCUUGUUGGGAUCGAGGCCAUUUUUUCGAGUACUGACCUGAUAUUACUAUCUGAAGAUGAGGCAUAUUACUUCUUUCUCAAGUGGGCCAGUCUCCGAUACCCAGAAUUUGAGGAAAGACGGAAGAUCUAGAGUUGUCGUUUACUUCCACUGGUACGCUUCAGUCAUAUGACAGGUUUGUCACUUCAGAAUGUCCUAGCAUGCACUGAUGAUGAUAUAGACCAUGAGCAAGUAGCUCAACGUAUUGCUGAGGUACUUCUAUACAAAGCUUAUCCAACACAGAUGGAAGGUACUCCUGCAGCAGAAGUAGCAACCUCACAAUUUUCUGAGCAAACUUACGAGUUGAGGACCAUGAAAGUUGUUGCGUUCAGUCGACCCUGCCCACAUGUUACAGUUUACAUGGCAUUAGAACCAAAAGGUCUUGAGUUUAAGAUCUGGCUGGCGCAAUUUUAA